ACCCUUGAUUUUAAGUUUAUUUUUUAAAAUCAGUGGCAAAAAUAAUAAUUACAUUUCAUAUUUUUAAAAUUUUAAAAGUUUUAAUUAUUUUUUAAUAAAUAUAUUUUAGUAUGAUAACAAAAAAUUAUAAUUAUCUUGCAAAAUUUGAUAAGACUACCAUCUUAAUACCAUUUUAAAAAGUUUGCAACUAUUAUAAAAUAAUUUAAAAUUUAAACAUCAAAAUAAAAUUUAAAUAAAAGAUUUGGGACUACUUAUACACUUUAUCUAAAAAUAUUUGGCCCAAAAAUCUUUGAUCAAAUGUCGAGAUUCAAUGGUCAAAGUUCAAAGGAGUGUUGUUUAAAACUUCAAGUUAAGCUUGCCUCAAUAUAUAGACGAAAGAGAGUCCAAGCUGAAACUAACACUACAUAUUAAAACAACUAUAUAUCUUUAAACAACAAAAUUAUACCUACCGUGUAAAAAACAAUUAAAAAACCAUUUUUAAAUUAAAAAAAAGGGGCUUUCUCGAAAGGAAAGGCGAGAGGGCAUGCACGUUGGAACAUUUUUGUUGGUGGGUCACUGUUGUUAUAAUCCAUCAUAUAACACGGUGCAGAUGUUGAAAUCGAAAUUUAAUUUAAUUUAUUUAUAUUUUAUUUUUAGGAAUUAAUAUUUUUUAAGUUUAAAUUUGAAUUUCAAUAUAUAAUCCUUUUGUUUUAUCUUUAAACUGUGAUUUUUUUUUAAUAAGGUGCAGAUGAUGAUAUUCAUUAAACCAAUCGAAAUAUUUUGUCAGUCGAGUUGAACAUUAAUACUAGUUUAGAUGGAGACAAUAGUUUCUAUAUCCAAAUUGAAGACUGUUUUCACCAAACAUUUUUGACUUCUCUUCCUUUGCCAAUUGCCAUACUGCCGAAUCUGAGAAAAAUUACACGAUUUUUGAAUGGGAUGAUGAAUUUCAAAUAUGUGUGCUUUGAAAGCCAUAACCCAUUGCCCAAUUUCAAAAGAAGGUGUGGGAAACGUUUCUAAAGGAGGCCGUAUGUGAUUUUUAUUUUUCUUUUUCUGGUAAAAAGGGGUAAAAGAGAUCUUUGCUUACACGGCCGCAUGUUUGAAGGGAUUAUGAGCAUGAUUAGAAUGUAACUUGCAAGACACUAUCAACAAAAGUAGAUGAUGUUAUCAAUUGACUUGCACAUCACUACCAACAUGGAUAUACCACUUAUUGUUCAUUGAUCCAUCCAAUUUCAUUCCAACUUUUUUUUUUCACGAGAUUGGUGGUUUAAAAAUAAUCAUUAAGGUUUACCAAAAUAAAAAAAUUGCUAUUUUAUAUAUUGGUGGUAAGAGUUUUUUUUUUUUUAAUGGAAAUCGCAUUUUGAAAAUAAAAAAAAAUUGUCUUAGG
Molecule: long non-coding RNA, 1363 nt
Filed under: Durio zibethinus
Lineage: Eukaryota; Viridiplantae; Streptophyta; Magnoliopsida; Malvales; Malvaceae
Description: long non-coding RNA (DZIB_LNC000319)
Source: RNAcentral